GACGAACGCUGGCGGCGUGCUUAAUACAUGCCAGUCGAACGGAAAGGCGAUGCGCUUGCGGGGUGCACGUUUGGCGAACGCGGGUGUAAAACGCGUGUAACCCCUCCUUGUCUUUCGGAUAUCUCCUCGAAACUCGGGCUCUUAUACCAUAGGAUCUCCUGCUGCACGGGGGGGGAUGGAAAGUUUCGGCGUUUCAGGCUAGACUCGCGGCUUACCCGCUGGAUGGGGUAGUUGUGGCUUACCAAGGCUAUGAAGGGUAGCCGGCCUGGGAGGGUGACCGGCCACAUUGGGACUGGGGUACGGCCCAGACUCCUACGGGAGGCAGCAGUGGGGAAUAUUGCACAAUGGGCGGAGGCCUGAUGCAGCAACGCCGCGUGCGGGAUGACGGCCUUCGGGUUGUAAACCGCUUUCGCCUGUGACGAAGCGUGAGUGACGGUAAUGGGUAAAGAAGCACCGGCUAACUACGU
Molecule: ribosomal RNA, 467 nt
Filed under: uncultured bacterium
Lineage: Bacteria
Description: partial 16S ribosomal RNA
Rfam family: Bacterial small subunit ribosomal RNA
Source: RNAcentral